ACACCGGCAGCUCAAGUGGUAGCCGCUUUUAUUGGGCCUAAAGCGUUCGUAGCCGGCCUGAUAAGUCUCUGGUGAAAUCCCGCAGCUUAACUGUGGGAAUUGCUGGAGAUACUAUCAGGCUUGAGGUCGGGAGAGGUUAGAGGUACUCCCAGGGUAGGGGUGAAAUCCUAUAAUCCUGGGAGGACCACCUGUGGCGAAGGCGACUAACUGGAACGAACCUGACGGUGAGUAACGAAGGCCAGGGGCGCUAACCGGAUUAGAUACCCGGGUAGUCCUGGCCGUAAACGAGGUGGACUUGAUGUUGGGAUGGCCUCGAGCUGCCCCAGUGCCGUAGGGAAGAUGUUAAGUCCACCGCCUGGGAAGUACGGUCGCAAGACUGAAACUUAAAGGAAUUGACGGGG
This 401-nucleotide ribosomal RNA is filed under the name uncultured bacterium. RNAcentral's name for it is "partial 16S ribosomal RNA". It matches the Rfam family "Archaeal small subunit ribosomal RNA", at positions 473 to 873 of the family's 1478-position model. The record is from RNAcentral.